GAUGAGCGCUGGCGGCGUGCCUAAUACAUGCAAGUCGAGCGAACAGACGAGGAGCUUGCUCCUCUGACGUUAGCGGCGGACGGGUGAGUAACACGUGGAUAACCUACCUAUAAGACUGGGAUAACUUCGGGAAACCGGAGCUAAUACCGGAUAAUAUAUUGAACCGCAUGGUUCAAUAGUGAAAGACGGUUUUGCUGUCACUUAUAGAUGGAUCCGCGCCGCAUUAGCUAGUUGGUAAGGUAACGGCUUACCAAGGCAACGAUGCGUAGCCGACCUGAGAGGGUGAUCGGCCACACUGGAACUGAGACACGGUCCAGACUCCUACGGGAGGCAGCAGUAGGGAAUCUUCCGCAAAGGGCGAAAGCCUGACGGAGCAACGCCGCGUGAGUGAUGAAGGUCUUCGGAUCGUAAAACUCUGUUAUUAGGGAAGAACAAAUGUGUAAGUAACUAUGCACGUCUUGACGGUACCUAAUCAGAAAGCCACGGCUAACUACGUG
Molecule: ribosomal RNA, 497 nt
Filed under: uncultured bacterium
Lineage: Bacteria
Description: partial 16S ribosomal RNA
Rfam family: Bacterial small subunit ribosomal RNA
Source: RNAcentral